This 72-nucleotide transfer RNA is filed under the name Candidatus Mancarchaeum acidiphilum. Its description in RNAcentral is "tRNA-Tyr". It matches the Rfam family "tRNA". Rfam says of the family: Transfer RNA (tRNA) molecules are approximately 80 nucleotides in length. Their secondary structure includes four short double-helical elements and three loops (D, anti-codon, and T loops). The record is from RNAcentral. Lineage: Archaea; Nanobdellati; Microcaldota.
CCCGUUGUAGCUCAAUGGUAGAGCGGCCGGCUGUAGACCGGCAGGUUGGGUGUUCAAAUCACUCCAACGGGA